RNAcentral lists this ribosomal RNA (352 nucleotides) under Xanthomonas citri pv. citri. RNAcentral describes it as "SSU rRNA". It matches the Rfam family "Eukaryotic small subunit ribosomal RNA", at positions 981 to 1339 of the family's 1831-position model. Lineage: Bacteria; Pseudomonadati; Pseudomonadota; Gammaproteobacteria; Lysobacterales; Lysobacteraceae. The record is from RNAcentral.
GAACGAAAGUUAGGGGAUCAAAGAUGAUCAGAUACCGUCGUAGUCUUAACCGUAAACUAUGCCGACUGAGAAUGGGUACCGCUUAUACGGUAUCCGCGCUCUACGAGAAAUCAAAGUGAUCAGGUUCUGGGGGGAGUAUGGUCGCAAGGCUGAAACUUAAAGGAAUUGACGGAAGGGCACCACCAGGAGUGGAGCCUGCGGCUUAAUUUGACUCAACACGGGGAAACUCACCAGGUCCAGACACAAUAAGGAUUGACAGAUUGAUAGCUCUUUCUUGAUUUUGUGGGUGGUGGUGCAUGGCCGUUCUUAGUUGGUGGAGUGAUUUGUCUGCUUAAUUGCGAUAACGAACGAG